CCUACGGGUGGCUGCAGUGGGGAAUAUUGCACAAUGGGGGAAACCCUGAUGCAGCGACGCCGCGUGAGUGAAGCAGUAUUUCGGUAUGUAAAGCUCUAUCAGCAGGGAAGAAAAUGACGGUACCUGAUUAAGAAGCCCCGGCUAACUACGUGCCAGCAGCCGCGGUAAUACGUAGGGGGCAAGCGUUAUCCGGAUUUACUGGGUGUAAAGGGAGCGUAGACGGCAGCGCAAGUCUGGAGUGAAAUGCCGGGGCUUAACCCCGGAACUGCUUUGGAAACUGUGCAGCUAGAGUGCAGGAGAGGUAAGUGGAAUUCCUAGUGUAGCGGUGAAAUGCGUAGAUAUUAGGAGGAACUCCGAUGGCGAAGGCAGCCUACUAAACUGUCACUGACAUUGAGGCUCGAAAGCGUGGGGAUCAAACAGGAUUAGAUACCCCUGUAGUC
This 440-nucleotide ribosomal RNA is filed under the name uncultured bacterium. Its description in RNAcentral is "partial 16S ribosomal RNA". It matches the Rfam family "Bacterial small subunit ribosomal RNA", at positions 338 to 795 of the family's 1533-position model. The record is from RNAcentral.